Molecule: ribosomal RNA, 423 nt
Filed under: uncultured bacterium
Lineage: Bacteria
Description: bacterial SSU rRNA
Rfam family: Bacterial small subunit ribosomal RNA
Source: RNAcentral
UGAGGAAUAUUGGUCAAUGGGCGCAAGCCUGAACCAGCCAUCCCGCGUGCAGGAAGACGGCCCUAUGGGUUGUAAACUGCUUUUCCAGGGGGAGAAUUUUUCUGUCGUGACAGGAAUUGACGGUACCCUGGGAUUAAGCAUCGGCUAACUCCGUGCCAGCAGCCGCGGUAAUACGGAGGAUUCUAGCUUUAUCCGGUUUUAUUGGGUUUAAAGGGUGCGUAGGCGGAUUGAUAAGUCAGUAGUGAAAACCUGCAGCUUAACUGUAGACUUGCCGUUGAUACUGUCAGACAUGAGUGUGGUCAAGUUAGGCGGAAUGUGUAAUGUAGCGGUGAAAUGCUUAGAUAUUACACAGAACACCGAUUGCGAAGGCAGCUUACUGGGCCAUUACUGACGCUGAUGCACGAAAGCGUGGGGAUCGAACAG